This 920-nucleotide ribosomal RNA is filed under the name human oral metagenome. Its description in RNAcentral is "bacterial SSU rRNA". It matches the Rfam family "Bacterial small subunit ribosomal RNA", at positions 8 to 936 of the family's 1533-position model. The record is from RNAcentral.
AGAGUUUGAUCCUGGCUCAGGAUGAACGCUAGCGGCAGGCCUAACACAUGCAAGUCGAGGGAGGAGCCUUCGGGCUUCGACCGGCGUACGGGUGCGUAACGCGUAUACAAUCUGCCUUUCACAUAGGGAUAGCCCGAAGAAAUUUGGAUUAAUACCUAAUGGUAUAUAGGAGUGGCAUCACAUUUAUAUUAAAGCUGAGGCGGUGAAAGAUGAGUAUGCGUUCUAUUAGCUAGUUGGAGAGGUAACGGCUCCCCAAGGCGACGAUAGAUAGGGGUUCUGAGAGGGAUGUCCCCCACACUGGUACUGAGAUACGGACCAGACUCCUACGGGAGGCAGCAGUGAGGAAUAUUGGACAAUGGUCGGAAGACUGAUCCAGCCAUGCCGCGUGCAGGAAGACGGCCUUAUGGGUUGUAAACUGCUUUUGCAGGGGAAGAAUAAGGACUACGAGUAGUUUGAUGACGGUACUCUGCGAAUAAGCAUCGGCUAACUCCGUGCCAGCAGCCGCGGUAAUACGGAGGAUGCGAGCGUUAUCCGGAAUCAUUGGGUUUAAAGGGUCCGUAGGCGGGCUAAUAAGUCAGAGGUGAAAGCGCUCAGCUCAACUGAGCAACUGCCUUUGAAACUGUUAGUCUUGAAUGGUUGUGAAGUAGUUGGAAUGUGUAGUGUAGCGGUGAAAUGCUUAGAUAUUACACAGAACACCGAUAGCGAAGGCAUAUUACUAACAAUUAAUUGACGCUGAUGGACGAAAGCGUGGGGAGCGAACAGGAUUAGAUACCCUGGUAGUCCACGCUGUAAACGAUGGAUACUAGCUGUUUGGUUGCAAGACUGAGUGGCUAAGCGAAAGUGAUAAGUAUCCCACCUGGGGAGUACGCACGCAAGUGUGAAACUCAAAGGAAUUGACGGGGGCCCGCACAAGCGGUGGA